This 383-nucleotide long non-coding RNA is filed under the name Vigna radiata. RNAcentral's name for it is "long non-coding RNA (VRAD_LNC006822)". Lineage: Eukaryota; Viridiplantae; Streptophyta; Magnoliopsida; Fabales; Fabaceae. The record is from RNAcentral.
AAAACAAAUGAAUGAAUAAAACAAGAGCAAAAAAUUGCGGUGUCGUGGAUUGUUGUGUGUGGAUGUAAGAGAGGAAACAAAUUGAAUUAGUGAGGAAGGUGAAUUAGGGUUAGAUGAAUGUUUCUGAUUUUUUUAGUUGAAACUACUUACAGAGAGAAUGUUGGAGUGAGAAAAAUAAAAGAGAAAGGGUUGAGAGGAAAGAAGGAUGAGAGACGGGUGAGUAAGGGUUUGAGAUUUCUUGUUUUUUUUUUCUUAGUUUUGAGAAUGAAAAUUAUUCAAAUACUCUUGACCUUAAAACUUAGAAUUUAUAAUAUACGAGGAUAUUUUUGUCUACUAAAACUCGGUACACUUUGCUAAAAUAUACCAACUAAAAAAACUUAAUA